ACACAACAGACUUAAAAUCUGUCGAACAUUAGUUCGUGCGGGUUCAAGUCCCGCCUUCCCUACCA
This 65-nucleotide transfer RNA is filed under the name Algoriphagus sp. RNAcentral's name for it is "tRNA-OTHER". It matches the Rfam family "tRNA", at positions 21 to 71 of the family's 71-position model. From Rfam's summary of the family: Transfer RNA (tRNA) molecules are approximately 80 nucleotides in length. Their secondary structure includes four short double-helical elements and three loops (D, anti-codon, and T loops). The record is from RNAcentral. Lineage: Bacteria; Pseudomonadati; Bacteroidota; Cytophagia; Cytophagales; Cyclobacteriaceae.